CUAUUCCACUGCACGUCGUGGUCUUUCCCUUGCUGGUUGGAUGACUACUAUGGACGAAGAGCACAACUACUUCCAGUCUCUGGUCGAUAAGUACCCAAGGAAGAGUUGCAGUGGGUAAAUCUUAAUGGCUGGCAGAAAAUUGGUUCGGGAUAUAUUACUCUCAAGACAAAGUAUUUUCUAUCAGUUUACUUCCCAUGGGCAUAAAUGAAACUGUGUUUCAAGAACAAGGUGCUGCUACAUCAUUCAAGGAAAUUCGUCGUAGAGGUCUUUCUCUUUACCAGAUUUCGUAGCUGAAGUUUAUGAAGUAAUCAAACCGGUGUUAACUUCUUAUAUAAAGGUAGAUUCCCAAACUUUGAAGAAACACUACAGUACUGAGGUAAUUGAAUGUUGUAAGGCAGAGCAUCGGGCUUACCAGAGCCAAGGUAUCUUCUUCGAUAACAAGGAAUAAAGGAAAAUGAAAUAUAACCAAACUUGGGAUCUUUGCAAGCAAGCUUCC
Long non-coding RNA from Cucumis sativus (cucumber), 496 nucleotides. RefSeq lists it as uncharacterized. The transcript is spliced from 6 exons. The record is from RefSeq and is a predicted model, not a curated record. NCBI's taxonomy places the organism in Eukaryota, Viridiplantae, Streptophyta, Magnoliopsida, Cucurbitales, Cucurbitaceae.